UACGUAGGGUCCAAGCGUUGUUCGGAAUCACUGGGCGUAAAGGGAGCGUAGGCGGGAUCGUAAGUUAAGAGUAUAAUACACCGGCUUAACCGGUGGCCUGCUUUUAAUACUGCGAUUCUUGAGUUUGGAAGAGGGAGAUGGAAUUCCAGGUGUAGCGGUGGAAUGCGUAGAUAUCUGGAAGAACACCAGCAGCGAAGGCGGUCUCCUGGUCCUAUACUGACGCUGAGGCUCGAAAGCUAGGGGAG
RNAcentral lists this ribosomal RNA (245 nucleotides) under uncultured bacterium. RNAcentral's name for it is "partial 16S ribosomal RNA". It matches the Rfam family "Bacterial small subunit ribosomal RNA", at positions 524 to 768 of the family's 1533-position model. The record is from RNAcentral.